Molecule: ribosomal RNA, 463 nt
Filed under: uncultured bacterium
Lineage: Bacteria
Description: bacterial SSU rRNA
Rfam family: Bacterial small subunit ribosomal RNA
Source: RNAcentral
CCCUUAGAGUUUGAUCCUGGCUCAGGAUGAACGCUGGCGGCGUGCUUAACACAUGCAAGUCGAGCGAAGCGCUUAAGUUUGAUUCUUCGGAUGAAGACUUUUGUGACUGAGCGGCGGACGGGUGAGUAACGCGUGGGUAACCUGCCUCAUACAGGGGGAUAACAGUUAGAAAUGACUGCUAAUACCGCAUAAGACCACGGUACCGCAUGGUACAGUGGUAAAAACUCCGGUGGUAUGAGAUGGACCCGCGUCUGAUUAGGUAGUUGGUGGGGUAACGGCCUACCAAGCCGACGAUCAGUAGCCGACCUGAGAGGGUGACCGGCCACAUUGGGACUGAGACACGGCCCAGACUCCUACGGGAGGCAGCAGUGGGGAAUAUUGCACAAUGGAGGAAACUCUGAUGCAGCGACGCCGCGUGAAGGAUGAAGUAUUUCGGUAUGUAAACUUCUAUCAGCAGGGAAGA